RNAcentral lists this ribosomal RNA (593 nucleotides) under uncultured Gammaproteobacteria bacterium. RNAcentral describes it as "partial 16S ribosomal RNA". The record is from RNAcentral. Lineage: Bacteria; Pseudomonadati; Pseudomonadota; Gammaproteobacteria.
GCUCUCCCAUAUGGUCGACCUGCAGGCGGCCGCGAAUUCACUAGUGAUUCGUAUUACCGCGGCUGCUGGCACAGAGUUAGCCGGUGCUUAUUCUGUCGGUAACGUCAAAACACUAACGUAUUAGGUUAAUGUCCUUCCUCCCAACUUAAAGUGCUUUACAAUCCGAAGACCUUCUUCACACACGCGGCAUGGCUGGAUCAGGCUUUCGCCCAUCGUCCAAUAUUCCCCACUGCUGCCUCCCGUAGGAGUCUGGACCGUGUCUCAGUUCCAGUGUGACUGAUCAUCCUCUCAGACCAGUUACGGAUCGUCGCCUUGGUGAGCCAUUACCCCACCAACUAGCUAAUCCGACCUAGGCUCAUCUGAUAGCGCAAGGCCCGAAGGUCCCCUGCUUUCUCCCGUAGGACGUAUGCGGUAUUAGCGUCCGUUUCCGAGCGUUAUCCCCCACUACCAGGCAGAUUCCUAGGCAUUACUCACCCGUCCGCCGCUCUCAAGAGGUGCAAGCACCUCUCUACCGCUCGACUUGCAUGUGUUAGGCCUGCCGCCAGCGUUCAAUCUGAGCCAGGAUCAAACUCUAAUCGAAUUCCCGCGGCCGC